RNAcentral lists this ribosomal RNA (429 nucleotides) under Bacteroidota bacterium. RNAcentral describes it as "Bacteroidetes bacterium partial 16S ribosomal RNA". It matches the Rfam family "Bacterial small subunit ribosomal RNA", at positions 355 to 776 of the family's 1533-position model. The record is from RNAcentral. Lineage: Bacteria; Pseudomonadati; Bacteroidota.
UAGGGAAUCUUCCGCAAUGGACGCAAGUCUGACGGAGCAACGCCGCGUGAGUGAAGAAGGAUUUCGGUUCGUAAAACUCUGUUGUGAGAGAAGAACAGCGCAUAGAGUAACUGUUAUGCGUGUGACGGUAUCUAACCAGAAAGCCACGGCUAACUACGUGCCAGCAGCCGCGGUAAUACGUAGGUGGCAAGCGUUGUCCGGAUUUAUUGGGCGUAAAGCGAGCGCAGGCGGUCAAUUAAGUCUGAUGUGAAAGCCCCCGGCUCAACCGGGGAGGGUCAUUGGAAACUGGUUGACUUGAGUGCAGAAGAGGAGAGUGGACUUCCAUGUGUAGCGGUGAAAUGCGUAGAUAUAUGGAGGAACACCAGUGGCGAAGGCGACUCUCUGGUCUGUAACUGACGCUGAGGUUCGAAAGCGUGGGUAGCAAACAGG